Molecule: ribosomal RNA, 334 nt
Filed under: uncultured eukaryote
Lineage: Eukaryota
Description: partial 18S ribosomal RNA
Rfam family: Eukaryotic small subunit ribosomal RNA
Source: RNAcentral
CCCUUAGAUGUCCGGGGCCGCACGCGCGCUACACUGAAGGAAUCAGCGUGGCUUUCUCCCUGACCCGAAAGGGUUGGGAAACCCGUUGAAUCUCCUUCGUGAUAGGGAUUGGGGCUUGAAAUUGUUCCCCAUGAACGAGGAAUUCCCAGUAAGCCCGAGUCAUAAGCUCGCGUUGAUUACGUCCCUGCCCUUUGUACACACCGCCCGUCGCUACUACCGAUUGAACGGUUUAGUGAGGGCCUCGGAUUGGUCUCGGCCCGCUCUUUACCGGGCGGCGCCGUUGGUCGAGAAGACGCUCGAACUUGAUCGUUUAGAGGAAGUAAAAGUCGUAACA